UACGGAGGGUGCAAGCGUUAAUCGGAAUUACUGGGCGUAAAGCGUGCGCAGGCGGUUUGUUAAGUCCGUUGUGAAAGCCCCGGGCUCAACCUGGGAAUGGCAAUGGAAACUGGCGGGCUGGAGUAUGGCAGGGGAGACUGGAAUUCCUGGUGUAGCGGUGGAAUGCGCAGAUAUCAGGAGGAACACCGGUGGCGAAGGCGGGUCUCUGGGCCAUUACUGACGCUGAGGAGCGAAAGCGUGGGGAGCGAACAGG
This 253-nucleotide ribosomal RNA is filed under the name uncultured bacterium. RNAcentral's name for it is "partial 16S ribosomal RNA". It matches the Rfam family "Bacterial small subunit ribosomal RNA", at positions 524 to 776 of the family's 1533-position model. The record is from RNAcentral.